AGGCCUUGCGCUCUUUGAGCGGCCGAUAUCAGAUUAGCUAGUUGGUGAGGUAAAGGCUCACCAAGGCGACGAUCUGUAGCGGGUCUGAGAGGAUGAUCCGCCACACUGGAACUGAGACACGGUCCAGACUCCUACGGGAGGCAGCAGUGGGGAAUUUUGGACAAUGGGGGCAACCCUGAUCCAGCCAUGCCGCGUGAGUGAAGAAGGCCUUCGGGUUGUAAAGCUCUUUCGGCCGGGAAGAAAUCGCAUGGGCCAAUACCCUGUGCGGAUGACGGUACCGGCAUAAGAAGCACCGGCUAACUACGUGCCAGCAGCCGCGGUAAUACGUAGGGUGCGAGCGUUAAUCGGAAUUACUGGGCGUAAAGCGUGCGCAGGCGGUUUUGUAAGACAGGCGUGAAAUCCCCGGGCUCAACCUGGGAACUGCGUUUGUGACUGCAAGGCUAGAGUACGGCAGAGGGGGGUGGAAUUCCACGUGUAGCAGUGAAAUGCGUAGAGAUGUGGAGGAACACCAAUGGCGAAGGCAGCCCCCUGGGUCGAUACUGACGCUCAUGCACGAAAGCGUGGGUAGCAAACAGGAUUAGAUACCCUGGUAGUCCACGCCCUAAACGAUGUCAACUAGGUGUUGGGUGGGUAAAACCAUUUAGUACCGGAGCUAACGCGUGAAGUUGACCGCCUGGGGAGUACGGCCGCAAGGUUAAAACUCAAAGGAAUUGACGGGGACCCGCACAAGCGGUGGAUGAUGUGGAUUAAUUCGAUGCAACGCGAAAAACCUUACCUACCCUUGACAUGUCCAGAAGCCUGAAGAGAUUUGGGUGUGCCCGAAAGGGAACUGGAACACAGGUGCUGCAUGGCUGUCGUCAGCUCGUGUCGUGAGAUGUUGGGUUAAGUCCCGCAACGAGCGCAACCCUUGUCGUUAAUUGCCAUCAUUCAGUUGGGCACUUUAACGAGACUGCCGGUGACAAACCGGAGGAAGGUGGGGAUGACGUCAAGUCCUCAUGGCCCUUAUGGGUAGGGCUUCACACGUCAUACAAUGGUCGGUACAAAGGGUUGCCAAGCCGCGAGGUGGAGCCAAUCCCAGAAAGCCGAUCGUAGUCCGGAUCGUAGGCUGCAACUCGCCUGCGUGAAGUCGGAAUCGCUAGUAAUCGUGGAUCAGCAUGUCACGGUGAAUACGUUCCCGGGUCUUGUACACACCGCCCGUCACACCAUGGGAGCGGGUUCCGCCAGAAGUAGGUAGCCUAACCGCAAGGGGGGCGCUUACCACGGCGGGGUUCGUGACUGGGGUGAAGUCGUAACAAGGUA
Molecule: ribosomal RNA, 1299 nt
Filed under: metagenome
Description: bacterial SSU rRNA
Rfam family: Bacterial small subunit ribosomal RNA
Source: RNAcentral